Molecule: ribosomal RNA, 301 nt
Filed under: uncultured bacterium
Lineage: Bacteria
Description: partial 16S ribosomal RNA
Rfam family: Bacterial small subunit ribosomal RNA
Source: RNAcentral
CAGUCGCCGCGGGAAUACGUAGGGUGCAAGCGUUAAUCGGAAUUACUGGGCGUAAAGCGUGCGCAGGCGGUUUGUUAAGACAGAUGUGAAAUCCCCGGGCUCAACCUGGGAACUGCAUUUGUGACUGGCAAGCUAGAGUGUGGCAGAGGGGGGUGGAAUUCCGCGUGUAGCAGUGAAAUGCGUAGAUAUGCGGAGGAACACCGAUGGCGAAGGCAGCCCCCUGGGCCAACACUGACGCUCAUGCACGAAAGCGUGGGGAGCAAACAGGAUUAGAUACCCGAGUGUCCCUGUCUCUUAUACA